RNAcentral lists this ribosomal RNA (590 nucleotides) under Streptomyces sp. Its description in RNAcentral is "bacterial SSU rRNA". It matches the Rfam family "Bacterial small subunit ribosomal RNA", at positions 74 to 679 of the family's 1533-position model. The record is from RNAcentral. Lineage: Bacteria; Bacillati; Actinomycetota; Actinomycetes; Kitasatosporales; Streptomycetaceae.
CCACCUUCGGGUGGGGAUUAGUGGCGAACGGGUGAGUAACACGUGGGCAAUCUGCCCUGCACUCUGGGACAAGCCCUGGAAACGGGGUCUAAUACCGGAUAUGAGCUUCCACCGCAUGGUGGGGGCUGUAAAGCUCCGGCGGUGCAGGAUGAGCCCGCGGCCUAUCAGCUUGUUGGUGAGGUAACGGCUCACCAAGGCGACGACGGGUAGCCGGCCUGAGAGGGCGACCGGCCACACUGGGACUGAGACACGGCCCAGACUCCUACGGGAGGCAGCAGUGGGGAAUAUUGCACAAUGGGCGCAAGCCUGAUGCAGCGACGCCGCGUGAGGGAUGACGGCCUUCGGGUUGUAAACCUCUUUCAGCAGGGAAGAAGCGAAAGUGACGGUACCUGCAGAAGAAGCGCCGGCUAACUACGUGCCAGCAGCCGCGGUAAUACGUAGGGCGCGAGCGUUGUCCGGAAUUAUUGGGCGUAAAGAGCUCGUAGGCGGCUUGUCGCGUCGGUUGUGAAAGCCCGGGGCUUAACCCCGGGUCUGCAGUCGAUACGGGCAGGCUAGAGUUCGGUAGGGGAGAUCGGAAUUCCUGGUGUAGC